This 559-nucleotide ribosomal RNA is filed under the name Colletotrichum simmondsii. RNAcentral's name for it is "eukaryotic LSU rRNA". The stretch from base 188 to 341 matches the Rfam family "5.8S ribosomal RNA". Lineage: Eukaryota; Fungi; Ascomycota; Sordariomycetes; Glomerellales; Glomerellaceae. The record is from RNAcentral.
CAUUACUGAGUUACCGCUCUAUAACCCUUUGUGAACAUACCUAACCGUUGCUUCGGCGGGCAGGGGAAGCCUCUCGCGGGCCUCCCCUCCCGGCGCCGGCCCCCACCACGGGGACGGGGCGCCCGCCGGAGGAAACCAAACUCUAUUUACACGACGUCUCUUCUGAGUGGCACAAGCAAAUAAUUAAAACUUUUAACAACGGAUCUCUUGGUUCUGGCAUCGAUGAAGAACGCAGCGAAAUGCGAUAAGUAAUGUGAAUUGCAGAAUUCAGUGAAUCAUCGAAUCUUUGAACGCACAUUGCGCUCGCCAGCAUUCUGGCGAGCAUGCCUGUUCGAGCGUCAUUUCAACCCUCAAGCACCGCUUGGUUUUGGGGCCCCACGGCACACGUGGGCCCUUAAAGGUAGUGGCGGACCCUCCCGGAGCCUCCUUUGCGUAGUAACUAACGUCUCGCACUGGGAUUCGGAGGGACUCUUGCCGUAAAACCCCCAAAUUUUUUACAGGUUGACCUCGGAUCAGGUAGGAAUACCCGCUGAACUUAAGCAUAUCAAUAAGCGGAGGA